This 253-nucleotide ribosomal RNA is filed under the name uncultured bacterium. Its description in RNAcentral is "partial 16S ribosomal RNA". It matches the Rfam family "Bacterial small subunit ribosomal RNA", at positions 524 to 776 of the family's 1533-position model. The record is from RNAcentral.
UACAGAGGUGGCAAGCGUUGUUCGGAAUUACUGGGCGUAAAGGGCGCGUAGGCGGCCUUCUAAGUCAGACGUGAAAUCCCCCGGCUUAACCUGGGAACUGCGUCUGAUACUGGGGGGCCUGAGUAUGGGAGAGGGAUGUAGAAUUCCAGGUGUAGCGGUGAAAUGCGUAGAGAUCGGGAGGAACAUCUGUGGCGAAGGCGGCCAUCUGGACCAGCACUGACACUGAGGCACGAAAGCGUGGGGAGCAAACAGG